AGAGUUUGAUCCUGGCUCAGGGUGAACGCUGGCGGCGUGCCUGACACAUGCAAGUCGUACGGGCGGACCCCCUUCGGGGGGCGAGCCAGUGGCGAACGGGUGAGUAACACGUGGGAACAUAUCCGCUGGUGGGGGAUAACUACCCGAAAGGGUAGCUAAUACCGCAUAAGCCCGAAAGGGGAAAGGUGCAACAGCAUCGCCAGUGGAGUGGCCCGCGGCCCAUCAGCUAGUUGGUGGGGUAAGAGCCCACCAAGGCGACGACGGGUAGCCGGCGUGAGAGCGCGACCGGCCACAAGGACACUGAGACACGGGUCCUACUCCUACGGGAGGCAGCAGUGCGGAAUAUUGGACAAUGGGCGAAAGCCUGAUCCAGCGACGCCGCGUGCGGGACGAAGGCCUUCGGGUCGUAAACCGCUGUGGUAAGGGACGAAU
This 432-nucleotide ribosomal RNA is filed under the name uncultured Thermotogales bacterium. Its description in RNAcentral is "bacterial SSU rRNA". It matches the Rfam family "Bacterial small subunit ribosomal RNA", at positions 8 to 450 of the family's 1533-position model. Lineage: Bacteria; Thermotogati; Thermotogota; Thermotogae; Thermotogales. The record is from RNAcentral.